Molecule: ribosomal RNA, 468 nt
Filed under: uncultured bacterium
Lineage: Bacteria
Description: partial 16S ribosomal RNA
Rfam family: Bacterial small subunit ribosomal RNA
Source: RNAcentral
GACGAACGCUGGCGGCGUGCUUAACACAUGCAAGUCGAACGGAAAGGCCCUGCUUUUGUGGGGUGCUCGAGUGGCGAACGGGUGAGUAACACGUGAGUAACCUGCCCUUGACUUUGGGAUAACUUCAGGAAACUGGGGCUAAUACCGGAUAGGAGCUCCUGCUGCAUGGUGGGGGUUGGAAAGUUUCGGCGGUUGGGGAUGGACUCGCGGCUUAUCAGCUUGUUGGUGGGGUAGUGGCUUACCAAGGCUUUGACGGGAAGCCGGCCUGAGAGGGUGACCGGCCACAUUGGGACUGAGAUACGGCCCAGACUACUACGGGAGGCAGCAGUGGGGAAUAUUACACAAUGGGCGGAAGCCUGAUGCAGCAACGCCGCGUGCGGGAUGACGGCCUGCGGGUUGUAAACCGCUUUCGCCUGUGACGAAGCGUGAGUGACGGUAAUGGGUAAAGAAGCACCGGCUAACUACGUG